RNAcentral lists this ribosomal RNA (253 nucleotides) under uncultured bacterium. RNAcentral's name for it is "partial 16S ribosomal RNA". It matches the Rfam family "Bacterial small subunit ribosomal RNA", at positions 524 to 776 of the family's 1533-position model. The record is from RNAcentral.
UACGUAGGCAGCAAGCGUUGUUCGGAGUUACUGGGCGUAAAGGGUGCGUAGGCGGCUUCUUAAGUCUGGUGUGAAAUCUCCCGGCUCAACUGGGGGGGUGCGCCGGAUACUGAGGGGCUAGAGUGUGGGAGAGGAAAGUGGAAUUCCUGGUGUAGCGGUGAAAUGCGUAGAUAUCAGGAGGAACACCGGUGGUGUAAACGGCUUUCUGGACCAUAACUGACGCUGAGGCACGAAAGCGUGGGUAGCAAACAGG